AGUGAACGCUGGCGGUAGACCUAACACAUGCAAGUCGAACGGCAGCACAGUAAGAGCUUGCUCUUACGGGUGGCGAGUGGCGGACGGGUGAGGAAUACAUCGGAAUCUACUUUUUCGUGGGGGAUAACGUAGGGAAACUUACGCUAAUACCGCAUACGACCUACGGGUGAAAGCAGGGGAUCUUCGGACCUUGCGCGAUUGAAUGAGCCGAUGUCGGAUUAGCUAGUUGGCGGGGUAAAGGCCCACCAAGGCGACGAUCCGUAGCUGGUCUGAGAGGAUGAUCAGCCACACUGGAACUGAGACACGGUCCAGACUCCUAUGGGAGGCAGCAGUGGGGAAUAUUGGGCAAUGGGCGCAAGCCUGAUCCAGCCAUACCGCGUGGGUGAAGAAGGCCUUCGGGUUGUAAAGCCCUUUUGUUGGGAAAGAAAAGCAGCAGGUUAAUACCCCGCUGUUCUGACGGUACCCAAAGAAUAAGCACCGGCUAACUUCGUG
This 492-nucleotide ribosomal RNA is filed under the name uncultured bacterium. RNAcentral describes it as "partial 16S ribosomal RNA". It matches the Rfam family "Bacterial small subunit ribosomal RNA", at positions 29 to 507 of the family's 1533-position model. The record is from RNAcentral.